RNAcentral lists this long non-coding RNA (14429 nucleotides) under Solanum tuberosum (potato). RNAcentral's name for it is "long non-coding RNA (STUB_LNC009166)". Lineage: Eukaryota; Viridiplantae; Streptophyta; Magnoliopsida; Solanales; Solanaceae. The record is from RNAcentral.
GUCAUUGCUGCUAAGCUAUCAACUUGUUUGUUCUGUUCUCAGUAGAUAUGGAUCACCUUUGAAAUACUCAGCCUCCGGAAGAGGCACCUGCAAUUAUCCAAAAUUGAAGAGUUGUGCAAGUUAGUGGUAGAAAGUGACUUAACUCUUUCCUGAGCAUCAAUAUUAACUUGCAGGGGCUGUAAAUUAUGCAGAAAAGUUAUAGUCAAUCCAUGUAAGGGAGCAAGUAAUUCAGCUUAGAAAUCAUUUUUGUAAUUGAAAUCAAAGAAGUAAAUCCUAAAAUCUAUCCUCCGCUCCUAUCCCUAAAUACUCCCGUUCCUACAAAAUUCAUGUUAUUGUCCACCCUUGCACCUUUAUUGAGCAUGUAAAUAGUUUCCUGGGGUGGUUCCUAUGUCACAGACAGGAAUUUUAGUGUGUCUUUGCUUGGUUGUACCUGCAAGCAUCCAAUAUUCACAUGGUAGAUAUUUAACAGCACAAUAAUUAAUGAUUAGUGGUUUUUGUUCAAAAAUGAAUUGGUUACUUUGUGUCCAAAUGAACCAUAGAUAGAAUGGUAGGAAAACUCUGUAGGGAACAUAUUCAAGGAACUUCUUAGGGCAGAGAUUGAUAAGUUUAUGCAGCCAUUGAGAUAGCUCAGGAUUAAUGGUUUCAGCAUUAGUAGUGUCACUUUGAAGCAGUUCAAAAAAAGAUGACUAAUGGUUUCAGCAUUAGUAGUGUCACAUUUUGCAAUAGAGUGAUGGAAUACAUGUCAUAUGAUGUAAAAAAUUGAGAGUAGGCAGCAGGUAACGAAGUAAAGUUUCACUUGAAAUGACAUAAGACGAGGAUUUUCAUCUCACUUGGUGAUACAUAACCAUUGUACCUAGUUCUGAGUUCAACUUACAUACAAUUUACCACUCUACUAAGAAACAAGAUAAAAGUUUAUAUUAUCAACAAAAGAUUUUGUGAAAUGUUCUACCCUCUCUAUAAAAUUCUCUCUCUAAAAUCUGAACUCUCAUCGGUACUAUAACGGCAACUUACUGCUGCUAUGGCAGCUGAGCCACUGGUAACUCAUCUCCGACCACCGGACAAAAUCCUCGAGGGACACACAGUACAAACAAUAUCAAUCCAACAACAAACUCCCUCAAGUCCAGUUUACGCCAUUGAGAGAUCGGGUAUCAACAAUGAGAGUAGGAGGUCGAUUUCGAAUGAACAAUGGUGUAAAAUUCAAGAGAUUAUUACGUAGGUUAAUGCUGAUUCCAUUCGGAUUGUUUUAACAAAUGGAGAAAAACCAAACUUAAAUGUAAUCAAAGAUUCAAAUCUCACAAAUGGGGGAAACUCCAAUUCCAGGAAUGGUGACCUGGAGAAAACAACAAAUAAUUAUUUGGGGAGGAGUAAUCCAAAUCAAAGUGACAAGGAGAACUCUGAUCCGAAACAAAAUGUUAGGUUACGUAGAGGGGAUGAUGAAGUAAUAAUGUGCAUAAAUACUUCCCAACUGGUGAAUGUGGCUGACAACGAUGAUAAUCAAAACUAUGAGGAAACUCCGGAGCACGGAAAUCAGAGUCAAGCUCAACACCAAACCAAACUUAUAGGGACAAUCAGUGUCUCAGAUUCAAAGAUUGAGGAAGAAAAUAACUUGAAGGCUUCAUCAGAGGAUCACACUGGUAAGCUUACUAAUGCUCAAUCUUCUAACAAUAUGUCUACUAAGGAUAAGGAUAUUGCUGGUCCUAGUAAAGCCGUGCAUAACCAUGGGAGUGAACAUGGUAGGAAGGAAGAUAAGGGAAAAGACAAGGUCGUAGAGAAAACCAAUCAUAAACCUUCUGUCCCUAACAACAACACCCUCCAAGUAUCCAACAACUUCAAGCCUUUCAAGCCUAACAAUAACCCGUCAAAAAAGGUAGACACAAAAAGAACUAAUGACAAUCAUCAGCCAGCACACAAAGGUCCCAUACAACCUAAACAAAAAGCUACUGUGAAUCCUGCACCACCUCAUCCUAAUAUCCCUCAUUCCAUGACUACCAAACUUUUUUUUAUGACAAGGGAAACCCGCAGCCGCUACCCUUUGGGUGCGCACAGGGUAAAACCCCCACUCCUAUGCAAUAGAUCGCAAACCACAUAGGAGAGGUAACCCGCACUAGGCAAGCCCGGUGCGACAAGCUCGACCCAAAAGGCAAACCCCUUGCUUUCGCUGGCAAGGGGUUUCGAACUUGAGACCUCCAACAUGGAAGCCCCAAGUCCAAACCACUGGGCCACCCCGAAGGGUUCGAUGACUACCAAACUUAGAGCCCAGGAUGCCCAAAAAAUCAUUCCCAUAACAAUCAACCCCCCCCCCCUCAUAAUUACUACCAAACAAGGAGACCCUGCAGUUGUGUUUAAAAGAGAGGACUUUAUGGUUAAGUUGGCGGAAAGAUGCAAAUAUGCGAUAAGUUCAUCAAUACCAUGCCUAAGAUGGAAACCAUCAAGGAACAAUUUAUUCUGCAAACUGAAUUGAAAGGAGGAGUGAAGUUAACUCAUUACAAUCCUAAACAUCUAUAUAUUAAUCUUAACAAUGAGUAUGAUCAUGCUACUGUGUUAUCCAAGGCUAAAAUGUAUGUUGAAAGUCAGCUGAUGAGAUUUUUAGUAUGGACUCCUACCUUCAAACCUGAAGAAGAAACUCAUUUGGCACCUGUUUGGGUGAUCCUGGGUGAAGUUCCUUGGCACUGCUACUGCGCAGAGGUCCUUAAUCCUCUUCUAUCAACUAUAGGUAAGGCACUUUUUCUAGACUUGGCUACUCAUAAAAGACUAGAGGUAGUGUCGCCAAAGUUAAAGUUCAAGUGGAUCUUACAAAGGAAAGACCUCAACAUGUUUGAAUAGGAUAUGAUGAAGAUGAGAAUGGUGAAAGAAAAUGGUUAUCCAUUCAAUAUGAGGGGGUACAUGACUACUGUAAUUAUUGCAAACAUCAUGGACGUGAUUAUAAUGCUUGUGAGGUCAAAGGAAGGGAUGAAGAGGCUAAAAGAGUAAAAGAACAAGAAGAAAAGAUGAACAACAAAAACAGUGAGGAUGAUCAGGCUAACAAGAGCAUCAAGGAACAACCCCUUGAACAGAGAGAACACAACAAGAAGAUGGAUGAAGAGACUCGAACUCAAGAGCAAUGGCAAACUCAAAAAAGGAAAGGAUGGAAAAACAACCAACAAACUCAACAAACACAGAAGACACAACAAGCUCAACAAUACAACAGAGAUUAAGACAACAAGAAGAAGGUUUAUAGAGCUAGAUCACCUCAAAGUCCAAAAUUUGCUAAUCAGCAUAUUCCACAACACCAACAGGCAGGUAUGACUACUGAACUCAGAGUUCAAAAUCCAAAUUGUAAUGCUGACUCUGGAGUCCAGAAUCAAUAAAUCCUCCCCCCCCCCCCACAUAAUUCUAUGAACCAAACAGGUACAAAAAAGAAUGACAACACAAAGGAUAAUACUGAGAGUUUUCCAGGAAAAGCUGAUGAUGGACAAAACCAACAAAAUGCAGGUAUCGACUCAAUGCUCCACCAACCCCACCCCAAUUACCUAUAUAUCUGACUUGUCUGAUAAAGAAGUUAUGGUAGGUAUGGAUGGAGGGAUUCAGGAGGAAACUACUAAUCGGCAGGAAGGGGUGUCCAAAGGGAGGGAAUUGUCUCAUGUUAUGCAUGAGAAUUUGAUUGACCCUAAGACUGACCCUAGAGCUCCUGCUACCUCUAAGAAUGCAGAUAUCCAGUCUCAAUUACAAGAACAAACUGCUAAUAUCAUUGGUAUUGAAAAGGCUACUAAAGAUGAUAUGCUUGAUACUAAAAAAAGAGAUGAAGAUAUGGUACAUAUUGAUGAUAUUGAAGGUACACCUUCUGAAGAUCCCACUAUAUCUACCAGUGUGAAUGUCCCUAAGUAGUCAAGUAUGCAACAAAGAUCAACCUACCAACCAAAUCAAAAUGAUGGUUCAAAACAGUAGAGACAGGGAGAAAGUCCCCAAAUUCUCAACAAUAAAUCUACCCUGGCUCUCAGUAAGAAAAAGAGAGAUGCUAUAAAGAUGAAACAAGCAAUGGAAGGAAAAAGAAAUGCUGAAAUGCAUCAAUGUGGACUAUGAGUUCGUAAAGGAGCAAGUAGGUAGCCAUGCAGUUCCCCUCUAGACCAAAGAUAAUCCCUGUGGAUUGUGAUAGUAAUACAACUGAGGACAAUAAUGAUGAUUAUAAGGUGGUCAAUUAUGAUGAAGAGUAUGAUCCUGAUCAAUUGGAAGAACAGGAAGAUGAUGAUGAAACUAGUGCUCAUCUACUGAAACCCUUUGGAUCCACCAUGAAUUCUGACUGUCAGGAUAAAAUUCAACAAGUAACUCAGAAGGCAGGUUUAUCACCUAGAGGUCAAAAGGAGAAGAAAAAGAAAAAAAUAUAAAAUAUUAUCAGCAAUUCUGCUAAUACAAUUACUGCCAAGAGUAACAUCAACACCAGGUCCAAAACCCAAAAACUUUGAUGAUUAGUACAAUUAGCUGGAAUGCUAGGAGUAUUAGCACUCAAGGAGCUUUGGAUAGACUCCAAAAACUCAAGGAUUACUACAAUCUCUCUAUGAUUGCAAUUCUUGAACCCAAAACCAACAAACAUCAGCUCAACUAUUAUAAAAAUCAUCUUAGGAUGGAUAAUGCUACUUCCUAUUCCAACAGUAAGAUCUGGUUAUUUUGGAACCAAGAUGUUGAUUGUACAAUUUUGGAUCAAGAUGAACAACAGGUUACUUGUGAAGCUAAGCAUGUAGCUUGGCAGACUUCUUACCGCCUCACUUUGUCUAUGCUAAAUGUAAAAAUCAUAUGAGAAGAGACCUAUGGGACAAGAUGCUUCAAUUUUCUAGAUUGGACAAACCUUGGUGUACUAUAGGAGAUUUCAAUGUGAUCACUGAUAUUGAUGAGAAGAUGGGAGGACUACCUUACAACAUGGAUAAAAGUUUUGAAUUCAUCAGUGUUAUUGAAGCAUGUGGACUAACUUACUUGGGAUUCCAUGGACAGAAAUUCGCUUGGUGUAAUCACAGAGAUGAUGAAGAUAGAAUUUGGAAGAGAUUGGACAGAGCUAUGGUCAAUGAUAAAUGUGUUGGAAAUAGAUACACUCAUUGAUGGGUUGACUAGUAACUUGCUUCAUUCAUGAAGUAAGUUACAACUCCACUAAAUAACUCCAUAUAGUAAAAGAAGAAGAGUUAUGUAUUCUUGAAUGGAGUGGGAGUUAUAGGAUAAGGGGUGAUGUAACUCUUGAAUGAAUAAGAGUUACAAGUCCUAACCCUGUCCUAUAAAAGGGAGGACUUGGGGUCAUCCAAGAACAACACAAACAACACAAGAAAAGAGUUCCUUAGAUAAAGAGUGUAGUUGUUGUGAAAAACAAUACAAGACUCCAUAGUGAUCUUGUAAGAAACCGCUAAGGCAAUUGGUGGUGAUAGCACUUGAUCCUAUAACAAGAAGGUAUGUAUAAUUCCGCACAAAUCUCCGAGUUUAAAUCCUUCAUUGGUAUCAGAGAAAGGUUUGUUAGAUGUGAUUAUAUUUUCACCAUUGCAUCAUAAAAAUUUAGUAAUAAGCAGAUUUUCGAAUCUAUUACAUUUCGAAAAAGUUUUUCAUUUUUUUAUAAACGUACUGACUUUCGGCAAAGUUAUCUCCUACAGUGGACUGGCAAACUGAACAAGCCAUAUAUUAAUGGAAAGAUAUUUUUGAUAGCUUUCCAUCGAUAUAUUAUUUGUAAAAUUUCGAUAUCGGAUGAAGGAGAUAUGGGUGUUGAAAGUUGGCUGCCAAAGAAAAUAAAAAAUGGACUGCUGGAAAUUUCAGCAAGACUGCCCAACUUUCAAGCUCAUUUUCUGCCCCUUCAUGUUUUCUAAUGUGUGCAAGACAUAUCACUGGAAAGAUACUUUCAAAACCUUUCCAACGAUAUAUAAUUUGUCAUUUUUUGACAUCGAAUAAAUGAAACAUGAGUGCUGAAAGUUCACUGUUUGAAAACAUAAUUUGGAAAUUUUUUUAAUUCUAAAAGUUUUCUAGGAAAAUUUCAAUUAAAAUAAAUAAAUAAAUAAUCCAUGAUUAUGGUUUAUGUCAUUUGUUUGAGACAUGUAUAUUGAACAAUUUAUAAAUUUAUAUAUAUAUUGAGUGGGAGUUCUUAUUGAUAGACAAUUUUUCUUAUUUAGAACUAUCAUAAUUUAUUAGCGCACAAUUGAUUUAAAAAUAAUAUUGGUAUGCUUAAGGUUACAUGUGAUGAAAGUAAGACAAACGUAGACUUUUGAACAUGGGCUUCUAGCUGGACAAUAUUAAUUUAGAUGCAAUUUUGCAGCAAAUAAAAAGAAAUUGUGUUUGGUGCUUAUUUGUGCUAUGUCUUCUAUGUGCGUACAUAAGUUUAUAAAAUGGCUUCAAAGACUAUUAUUGCUGAAUUGAAUAAGGGUGAAAAAUUAAAUGGUGAUAAUUAUGAUAUUUGGCACCGUAAGAUUCAAUACAUUCUUGAAGAGCAAGAGGUUUUGGAGACCCUAAACCAUGUGAUGGUUGAGCCGGCGGGUGAAGACACCCAACAACAUGAGAGAAAUCUUGAGACUUUUCAAGUCUGGAAGAAGAAAAAUAGUAUUGCUCGCAUAACGUUGCUGAGUAGUAUGGUUGAUGAUCUUAUGUGUGAGUUCGAAUCUUAUCCAACGGCUCAAGCCAUGUGGAUAGCACUGAAAGAUAAGUUUGGUGGCACUUCUGCUACAAAACUUAGGAGGUUGACCAUUAAGUUUGACACCUAUAGACUGCGCCCUAAUUCAUCGAUAAGGCAGCAUUUAAGAGAGAUGUCAAAUAUGAUACGAGAACUAAAAUCAGUUGGUCAUAAUCUUUCUGAUGAACAACAAGUGCAAGCUGUUAUAAGAUCUCUUCCUGCUAGUUGGGAAUAUAUGAAAAUUCAUAUGACCCACAAUGAAAGCAUCAAGUCUUUUGAAGACAUUGAGCACCAUCUUGUUCUUGAAGAUGAGUGUCGUGACGCUUCUAAAGCAACUGAUCAAGCUUUUCUAGCUGAAUCUCCUGGGACUUCUAAUCCUAAGCAAAAUAACAAGAACAAGAAAGCAUGGAAGAAAAAGGGGUCUGAUAAGUCAAAUCAGAAGGAUAAAUCUCAAUUUAAGAAGAGAGGAAAACGUGGUGCUAAGAAGAUUGAUAUGGCCAAAGUGGAGUGUUAUUCUUGUCACAAGAUGGGUCAUUUUGCGCGGGAUUGCCCAGAGCAAAAUAAGGUAACAUCAUGCACUAAAACUCCACAUUUUGCUUAUGUCUCUAGUACUGCAUUAAUGGCAGAUACUAAUACUUUGUGACUGUUGACUCAGGAGCCACAUACCACAUAGCUAGAGACAGAGGAUCAUUUCUUGAAUACCGCCGACUGCCUUCCGGGAGCAGAUGGCAUUAUGUCGGAAACAAUGCAUCAAUAGAAGUGAAAGGGAUCGGAACAUUCAAACUAGAGUUGCAAGGUGGACGAAUCCUUCUCCUACAUGAUGUCUUAUAUGUUCCAGACAUUCGGCGGAAUUUAGUUUCAGUUGUUUCUCUUCUUAAAUUAAAUUUCAGUGUGAAUUUUCACAAUAAUUCUGUUGACAUUAUUUAUGGCACUGAAUAUUAUGGUUCUGGUUACCUUUUUGAUGGUUUUAUUGUGUUGGACACAAUUUGUGGUUUUAAUUAUAUAUCUAAUAAUCAUGGUUGUUUUGCUUUAACAACAACUCCAAUUUUAGAUAUAAAUAUUUGGCAAGCUAGACUUGGAUAUAUAGGCCUUGAAAGAAUGAAUAGAUUGGCAAAAGAAGGAUUAUUGGGGUCCUUAACUAAAAUUGAAAUGUCAAUAUGUGAAUAUUGUCUAGCAGGAAAAACGACUAGAAAACCAUUUGGAAAGGGAACUAGAGCUGAGUUUCCAUUGCAACUUAUCCAUUCAGAUAUAUGUGGUCCUAUGAGUGUGAGGGCGAGGCAUGGAGCCUCAUAUUUCAUCACAUUUAUAGAUGAUUAUACUCGUCAUGGUCAUGUUUAUUUGAUCUCCCAUAAGUCAGAAGCAUUGGAAUGCUUUAGACAAUUUAUGAAUUUGGUGGAGAGUCAAUUUAACUUAAGAAUAAAAGCUUUAAGAACUGAUUGUGGGCGUGAGAAUCUAUCAGAUCAAUUUAAGGAUCUAUGUGAUGAAAAAGGAAUUGUAAGACAAUUAACAAUUCCAUACACUCCUAAACAAAAUGGAGUAGUUGAGCGAAGAAAUAGAACUUUGCUUGAAAUGGUUAGGUCUAUGAUGGCGCAGGCUAACUUGCCAAUUUCCUUUUGGGGAGACGCAUUGAUGUCAGCAACUUUUGUGCUUAACUGUGUGCCCUCUAAGUCUAUUGCUUCCACACCCUAUGAAUUAUGGACGGGUAGAAAACCUGACUUAAAUAUAUUGCGACCCUGGGGUCUGCCGCAUACGUGCAUGAUUCUUCCCAUAAAUAUGAGAAGUUAGGCCCUAGGGGCAAGAAAUGCAUCUUCAUUGGCUAUUCAAAGCAAUCAAAGGGUUAUAUCUUCAUAGGAGAAAAUGAAGAUGGAAGUAUAACAGAGCUUGAGUCACGAGAUGCCACAUUUUUAGAGAUUGAAUUUCCUAGUAAAGGUGAUAUUGAUAGAACUUUGUCAUUUUAUGAAGUUGUGGAUCAUCAAGAAAAUCUUCAAGAACAAAGAAGUGAGGAACAAGAAAUUGUACUUUCUCUUGUUGAUCCAAGUGGGAGAAUUACUCAUUUAGAGCAUAUUCCACAAGAGACACAUGUGCGGAAGAGUACACGAGGAACUAUACACCGACGUCAAUUUCAUAUCGAAGGGAAAGCAUUAAUAGUUACUCCGCAAGAUGAUGAAGAGCCUAAUUCAGUUCAAGAGACUUUUUCAGGCCCUACUAAGGAUAAGUGGAUAGAAGCAAUGAAAGAGGAAAUGGAGUCCAUGAGGAAAAAUCAUGUUUGGGAUUUGUUUGAUCUUUCGCCAAGUCGAAAGACAAUUGGGAAUAAAUGGGUUCUCAAAAUUAAAAGAAACGCGGAUGGUGUGAUUGAACGCUACAAAGCUCGUUUGGUGGCUAAGGGGUACACACAAUAAGAGGGCAUUGAUUAUGAAAAUACUUUCUCUCCAGUUGUGAGAUUUAGCUCUAUUAGACUGAUUCUAGCUAUAGUUGCAAGUAUGAACUUGGAGUUACAUCAAAUGAAUGUAAAGACUGCAUUUCUCAAUGGGGAACUAGAUGAAGAAAUUUAUAUAGAACAACCAUUAGGUUUUAUCCAAAAUGGUCAAGAGCGCAAAGUUUGCAAGCUCAAAAGGUCUAUUUAUGGACUUAAACAAUCAUCUAGACAAUGGUACUUAAGAUUUCAUCGCGUUAUUACGUCUUACAACUUUAAUAUGAUCGAUGAAGACCAUUGUGUGUAUAUGAAGCGGUCUGAAACUGAAUUUGUGAUAUUGUCCCUUUAUGUGGAUGACAUACUAUUAGCUGGAAAUAGUCUUACUUUUGUAAAGGCUAUAAAGAGUUGGCUGUCCCUAAAUUUUGAAAUGAAGGACAUGGGAGAAGAAGAAUUCAUCCUUGGAGUUAAAAUUCAUAGAGAUCGCUCUAAAAAUUUAGUAACUUUAUCACAAGAAUCAUACAUUGAAAAAAUUCUUGAACCAUUCAGGAUGAGAGACUGUAAAUCAAUAAACACCCCUGUAGCUAAAGGUGAAAAUUUAAGCCUUGAAACAUGUCCCAAAACUCAAAGUGAAAAAGAUGCCAUGAAGAGGGUCCCAUAUUCAAGUGCAAUUGGGAGUUUAAUGUAUGCAAUGUUGUGUACACGUCCCGAUAUUUGUUAUGCAGUGGGUCUUGUUAGUCGUUAUCAAUCCAAUCCAGGACAAACACAUUGGAAAGUUGUUAAGAGAAUCUUGAGAUACUUAAGGGGCACUGUUGAUUACAAAUUAUGUUAUCAAGGAAGUGACUACAGUUGGUGGGCUACUCUGAUGUUGAUUGGGGUCGAGACUUGGAUGAAAGAAAGUCCACUUCUGGUUAUGUUUUUUUGCUUAACAAUGGUACCAUUUCAUGGAGUAGCAAGAAACAAACAUGUAUACCUUUAUCAACUAUGGAAGCAGAGUUCAUUGCAUGCUCUACAGCAGUACAAGAAACUGUAUGGCUAAAAACGUUCAUGGAACACUUAGGGAUCAUUGGCAGGCCAAUGGAUGCGGUGCAAAUUUUUUGUGAUAGCCAAGCAGCAAUGGCAUAUACUUAAUCAUAGUAAGACGAAGCACAUAGAUACAAAGUAUAAUUUUGUUAGAGACAUCAUAGCACGUAAGGAAAUCACUUUACAUUACAUUUCUACGCACAAGAUGGUAGCGGAUCCCUUAACAAAGCCAAUACCUAGAGAUGUCUUUGGUAAACAUGUGAAAUCUCUAGGCUUGUGUGGGAUGUAAAAUGAUAUAUUUCCUUAUUUGAACAUCUUGAUAAUAAUGUAUGGAUAUCUUUUUGAUGUUUUUUAUGGUUAUUUCAUACAUUAUUAUUGAUUAGCACGUUCACAAUAUUAGAGUAUGUCGUACAAGUUGAUAAGGUUGGCUUUCUCACAUGAGCAACCGCCUUGGGCGCUUAUGGAAAGCGAGCCAAGAUGAGACAUUUGUGUUUCUUAACGCUAAAAAAGGAUAGCUAAUAUAUGUGGCACCUUCGAUUAACAACAUAUUAUUUAAAGUCACCCUAGUAAAAGACUAGGAUGAGAUCCAAGAGAAAUGUCAAAAAGGAUCGAAAUUAUAGAUUCCCACUACCCAUAAUACUUGUAGCCAGAUGUGAGAUCUCCUCUAAAAGUACAAUAGAGUGGUAGAACUCAGGUCAAGUAAAUGAUUUACUUGGACCAAGAUUUGUAUAGUGUGAAAAAAAUGAAAAAAAUGAAAAUCGACAUACACUCUGAUGGAAUCAGAGGCGCACUGUAACAUGCAUUUCAUACUGCAUGUGCUUCAUUACUGCAAAUUAAAAGUUAAGUGAAUACACCCUACUUCACUUUUAUGUGAGACCUUGAAAAGUUUCUUUCUCACUAGUGCCCUUAUGACUUUGACAAUAUCAUGAGGUGAUGGGUUAGUGUAUGCUACUUUAGUAUGAAUCUAAAGGUUAUGAAAAUACGACCUGAAGGAGUAAUGCUAGGAAAGCAAUUAAUCCUGAUCUUAGUGAUAUGUGGGCAAAAGGAAGAUCAUGUCAAAUAUAUACACAUUAAGCUUGUGUCUGAGACCGGUCCAUUAUGAAACCUAUUUUAGUUAGCAUCAUAAGUGUGGACACAAGGCAUAUGAAAAUUGAAAAUGGAAAGAGGGUUAAAAGAAGCCAUAUGUGUAUACAGACAUGUCUGGGGAAUCUACGGCACUUUAUAUGACAUGAUAGUAUAUCAUAAAUGAUCAUAAAAGGGUGGUAGUCUCUUAUGCUGAUCUAGAAAAAAAAAUCUAGUGUAAGAGCUCCCAAACUUAGGGCCCGUUUGGCCAUGCGAUAUGGUAUCAUGAUAUGAAAUUAUGAGAUGAAAUUGAAGGUUUGUUUGGACAUGCGAUAUGAAAUUUUUGUGUUGUAUAUUUUCUCAUAAACAUAAAAAUCUCAUAAGUUGUAAAACUAUUAAAAUAGCCUCAAUUGUUUAUUCAAUCUUAUCAAAUAAACAAAAAAUUAUAAAAUCGCAUAAUAAAUUAUUACAAAGUUAUUUGUUCUCCACUUAAGUAAUUGUUUCAUCUAACUUUAAUUUAAUAAAAAAAUUGAACAUAAAUUGUAGUGUACUAGUCUUUAAUAUAAUCCUCCCACAUAGUAAAAACAAUUUCGUCACAUUGAACUUGCAUUUCUCGAUCAUGUGACNNNNNNNNNNNNNNNNNNNNNNNNNNNNNNNNNNNNNNNNNNNNNNNNNNNNNNNNNNNNNNNNNNNNNNNNNNNNNNNNNNNNNNNNNNNNNNNNNNNNNNNNNNNNNNNNNNNNNNNNNNNNNNNNNNNNNNNNNNNNNNNNNNNNNNNNNNNNNNNNNNNNNNNNNNNNNNNNNNNNNNNNNNNNNNNNNNNNNNNNNNNNNNNNNNNNNNNNNNNNNNNNNNNNNNNNNNNNNNNNNNNNNNNNNNNNNNNNNNNNNNNNNNNNNNNNNNNNNNNNNNNNNNNNNNNNNNNNNNNNNNNNNNNNCAUCAACAACAUAAUAUUUAUCUACCAAAAAAUAUUUUAUAAAGAAUUACUAAAAGCAUAUGUGACGUAAAUGAGACAACUUUGUGUAAAUAAAUAAUAUUUAUUCUAAGGAUGUAAUUUAAAGUUACCAUGUGGCGAAAAUGGAAAUUGUGAUGUUGGUUCAACAAGUGCAUUCUCAAGUACUUUACUAUCAUGUGCAAUACCUUCCCAACUAGCAGCAGCAAAGGUAAAUCGCAUAUCAAAAUCACAAGUACAUAAGACAUUUUGUGAUGUUCUUCCUUUGCGAUUACGAUAUGCUUGUUGCACCGCUUUAGGAACCUCCCCUUCUAUAUAUGUUCCAUCAAUCGCACCAACACAAUCCUAUCAAAUAAAAAAUACAUCAAUAUUAGUUUAGUGAAUAUAAAAUAAAUUGGAAGCAUUAUAGAAUGCACUUUCAUAAAAAUAAUGUUUGUAAGAGUAAUAAAAAUAGUGCUUCCAAGACAAUGCAAAGUCAUAAAAUAAAUAUUAUCUCUUUAAACAAAGUUGUAGAAAAUAUGUAACUAAAUACUAAUAACUUACACAUAAAAUAUAAAUGUUCACUUAUUAAGGCCAUAAAAUAAAUUUAUUAAUGUGAUUGAAAUUUUACCUUAAACCAAGGCCAAAAUCGAAUAUUAUGUCUAAUUUUGGAAUGUACGCCAGUCAUAUUUUUUGGUUGUAUGAAUGUUCGUGCCAUCUUGCUAAUUGCCUCGGCAACUAUUUUAACAUGCCGGUUAAUUGUUUCAAGUGAAUGUUGAAAAGUUUCACAAUCGUGAGGUGUUAGUUAAAGUGACUAUAUGUUGGUGAGAAUAAUAAAUUUUAUAUCGGUGAGAAUAAUAAAUUUUAAAAAGUAAUGAUGUGAUUAUAAAUUUUAUUUACAUAUGAAACAAAUGGUUAGUAGAUAUAAAUGUGGGCUGUUUUAACAAAAUAUAAACUCAUGGAACAAUUAUUGUAUUAAAAUAUCUCAAAUCAUGAUAUGGAAUCACCAUAUAAUUUCAUAUCAUGGUUUUUGGAGAAUAUGGUAUCACCUCUCAUGAUAUGGAAUCAUGAGAUGGAAUCAGCGUAAAAUCGCAUGUCCAAACGCUGAUUCCAUCUCACGAUACCAUAUCGUGAUAUGGUAUCGCAUGGUCAAACGCCUACUUAGUGUCUGAGCGGUCACGACAAUACACUCGGUAUGAAUGUCUAAAGGAAUUUAUUUUUCAAAUUAAAGCCCUAUGUGUUUCAUCCCAUCAUGUGUGAGUGGGAGAUGUUGGAAAUAGAUACACUCAUUGAUGGUUGACUAGUAACUUGCUUCAUUCAUGAAGUAAGUUACAACUCCACUAAAUAACUCCAUAUAGUAAAAGAAGAAGAGUUAUGUAUUCUUGAAUGGAGUGGGAGUUAUAGGGUAAGGGGGGAUGUAACUCUUGAAUGAAUAAGAGUGACAAGUCCUACCUUGUCCUAUAAAAGGGAGGGAACUUGGGGUCAUCCAAGAAACAACAACAAACAACACAAGAAAAGAGUUCCUUAGAUAAAGAGUGUAGUUGUUGUGAAAAACAAUACAAGACUCCAUAGUGAUCUUGUAAGAAACCGCUUAGGCAAUUGGUGGUGAUAGCACUUGAUCCUAUAACAAGAAGGUAUGUAUAAUUCCGCAUAAAUCUCCGAGUUUAAAUCCUUCAAAAUGGAUAGAGGUGAUGCCUAUGUCUAAAAUCACUCACUUAGCCUCAACUGGUUCUGACCACUGUCCCCUGCUUCUGGAAAGUGUUGACAGAAAUACCAAUACUAUCAAAUACUACAAAUUCCUACAUUUUUGGGUGGAUAAUCCAAAGUUUCUAGAUAUUGUGUAAGCUUGCUGGGAAAGACCAGUUGACGGUAAUCCUAUGAGAAUUUUUCAGCUAAAAUUGAAAAGAGUGCCAAUACUCUUAGCAACUAGUCUAGACAGGAAUAUGGAGAUAUUUUUAACAGUGUUAAGGAGUAUGAGGAGAAGGUUAAAAGUGUUGAAGCAGAUAUCAUCAAUGACAACAAUGAGUAAAAUAGAACCAAGCUCAAUAGAUUAAUGCUCAAUGCAUCAGAUACUUAAAAAUUGAGCAAUCCACUCUCAAACAGAGAUGCAAACUCCAAGUAUAUCCAUGCUAUUAUCAGAGGCAGGAGAAGUAAGUCGUUUAUCCACAAAAUCAGUGAUGAUCAUGGUAAUACUAUCAAGGGGGAUGAGAAUAUUGCAAGGGCUGCAUGUUGUCGUUUUGAGAAAAUCUUUACAGGGGAAGAUAACCUGAUCAAUGAGGAAGUCCUUAGAUGCAUUCCUAGCAUGAUCACUGAGUAUCAAAACCAAAAACUCCAGGCCAUGCCAACAAAAGAGUAACUGAAACAGGCUGUCUGGUCAAUGAGUGCUAAUUCUGUAGCUG